GCCUAGGUGGCUCAGUCAGUAGAGCAUGAGACUCUUGAUCUCGAGAUGUUGAGUUCUAGCCUCGUUGGGGGUA
RNAcentral lists this transfer RNA (73 nucleotides) under Felis catus (domestic cat). It matches the Rfam family "tRNA". Rfam says of the family: Transfer RNA (tRNA) molecules are approximately 80 nucleotides in length. Lineage: Eukaryota; Metazoa; Chordata; Mammalia; Carnivora; Felidae. The record is from Rfam by way of RNAcentral.